Molecule: ribosomal RNA, 484 nt
Filed under: uncultured bacterium
Lineage: Bacteria
Description: partial 16S ribosomal RNA
Rfam family: Bacterial small subunit ribosomal RNA
Source: RNAcentral
AUUGAACGCUGGCGGCAGGCCUAAUACAUGCAAGUCGAGCGGACGAAGGGAGCUUUCGCCUGGCUUCCGCUACCGACGGGUGAGUAAUGCCCAGGAAUCUACCUGAUAUUGGGGACUGACGUACGGAAAGGGACCCUAAUAUCGCAUCCGACCUGAUGUUGAACGGGGGGGAUCUUCAGUCCACACGGUAUCUGCUGAGCCUAAGAGGGAUUAGCUAGUUGGUGUGGUAAGGGCCUACCAAGGCGACGAUCCGUAACUGGUCUGAGAGGAUGAUCAGUCACACUGGAACUGAGACACGGUCCAGACUCCUACGGGAGGCAGCAGUGGGGAAUAUUCGACAAUGGGCGAAAGCCUGAUCCAGCCACGCCGCGUGUGUGAUGAAGGUCUUCGGAUUGUAAAGCACUUUUAGUAGGGAGGAAGAAAUGUAAAAUAAACUCUUGCUGUUUUGACGUUACCAACACAAUAAGCCCCGGCUAACUUCGUG